Molecule: ribosomal RNA, 253 nt
Filed under: uncultured bacterium
Lineage: Bacteria
Description: partial 16S ribosomal RNA
Rfam family: Bacterial small subunit ribosomal RNA
Source: RNAcentral
GACGAACGGUGCGAACGUUGUUCGGAAUCACUGGGCUUAAAGGGCGCGUAGGCGGCUUCGCAAGUCCGGGGUGAAAGCCCCCAGCUCAACUGGGGAAGUGCCUUGGAUACUGCGGGGCUCGAGGAGGGUAGGGGUGAGCGGAACUUCCGGUGGAGCGGUGAAAUGCGUUGAUAUCGGAAGGAACGCCCGUGGCGAAAGCGAGGUCCUGGACGUCUACUGACGCUGAGACGCGAAAGCUAGGGGAGCAAACGGG